Molecule: long non-coding RNA, 760 nt
Organism: Ictalurus punctatus (channel catfish)
Lineage: Eukaryota; Metazoa; Chordata; Actinopteri; Siluriformes; Ictaluridae
Source: Ensembl
GGUGGAGUAUUUUAGUGGUAGUGGUUAAUGUAGUAUAGUGGAGUAUUUUAGUGUAGUGUUAAUGUAGUAUAGUGGAGUAUUUAGUGUAGUGUAGUGUUAAUGUAGUAUAGUGGAGUAUUUUAGUGUAGUGUUAAUGUAGUAUAGUGGAGUAUUUUAGUGUAGUGUUAAUGUAGUAUAGUGGAGUAUUUUAGUGUAGUGUUAAUGUAGUAUAGUGGAGUAUUUUAGUGUAUUGUAGUUGUAAUGUAGUAUAGUGGAGUAUUUUAGUGUAUUAUAGUGUAGUGUUAAUGUAGUAUAGUGGAGUAUUGUAGUGUAUGUAGUGGUUAAUGUAGUAUAGUGGAGUAUUUUAGUGUAGUGUAGUGUUAAUGUAAUUAUGUGGAGUAUUUUAGUGUAGUGUUAAUGUAGUAUAGUGGAGUAUUUUAGUGUAGUGUUAAUGUAGUAUAGUGGAGUAUUUUAGUGUAGUGUUAAUGUAGUAUAGUGGAGUAUUUUUAGUGUAGUGUUACUGUAGUAUAGUGGCGUAUUUUAGUGUAGUGUUAAUGUAGUAUAGUGGAGUAUUUUAGUGUCGUGUUAAUGUAGUCUAGUGGAGUCUUUUAGUGUAGUGUUAAUGUAGUAUAGUGGAGUAUUUUAGUGUAGUGUUAAUGUAGUAUAGUGGAGUAUUUUAGUGUAGUGUAGUGUUAAUGUAGUAUAGUGGAGUAUUUAGUUGUAGUGUAGUGUUAAUGUAGUAUAGUGGAGUAUUUUAGUGUAGUGUUAAUGUAGUAUAGUG